GCAAGUCGAACGAUGAAGCCUAGCUUGCUAAAGAUAGUAAAGUGGCGCACGGGUGAGUAACGCGUGGGUAAUCUACCUCUGAAUUGGGGAUAACAUUGCGAAAGCGAUGCUAAUACCGGAUAAUAUCUCUUAAGCUUCGGUUUUUGAGAUCAAAGGUGGCCUCUACAUGUAAGCUACUGUUUGGAGAUGAGCCCGCGUACCAUUAGCUUGUUGGUAGGGUAAUGGCCUACCAAGGCCGCGAUGGUUAGCUGGUCUGAGAGGAUGAUC
RNAcentral lists this ribosomal RNA (267 nucleotides) under uncultured bacterium. RNAcentral describes it as "partial 16S ribosomal RNA". It matches the Rfam family "Bacterial small subunit ribosomal RNA", at positions 57 to 305 of the family's 1533-position model. The record is from RNAcentral.